UGUAUUCACUACUGUAAGUCGCUCUGGAUAAGAGCAUCUGCUAAAUGACAAAAA
Non-coding RNA from Salmo salar (Atlantic salmon), 54 nucleotides. NCBI's taxonomy places the organism in Eukaryota, Metazoa, Chordata, Actinopteri, Salmoniformes, Salmonidae. The record is from Rfam.